This 253-nucleotide ribosomal RNA is filed under the name uncultured bacterium. RNAcentral's name for it is "partial 16S ribosomal RNA". It matches the Rfam family "Bacterial small subunit ribosomal RNA", at positions 524 to 776 of the family's 1533-position model. The record is from RNAcentral.
UACGAAGGGGGCUAGCGUUGCUCGGAAUUACUGGGCGUAAAGCGUGCGCAGGCGGUGAUGUAAGACAGUUGUGAAAUCCCCGGGCUCAACCUGGGAACUGCAUCUGUGACUGCAUUGCUGGAGUGCGGCAGAGGGGGAUGGAAUUCCGCGUGUAGCAGUGAAAUGCGUAGAUAUGCGGAGGAACACCGAUGGCGAAGGCAAUCCCCUGGGCCUGCACUGACGCUCAUGCACGAAAGCGUGGGGAGCAAACAGG